This 429-nucleotide ribosomal RNA is filed under the name Actinomycetes bacterium. RNAcentral describes it as "Actinobacteria bacterium partial 16S ribosomal RNA". It matches the Rfam family "Bacterial small subunit ribosomal RNA", at positions 355 to 776 of the family's 1533-position model. Lineage: Bacteria; Bacillati; Actinomycetota; Actinomycetes. The record is from RNAcentral.
UAGGGAAUCUUCCGCAAUGGGCGAAAGCCUGACGGAGCAACGCCGCGUGAGUGAUGAAGGGCUUCGGAUCGUAAAACUCUGUUAUUAGGGAAGAACAAAUGUGUAAGUAACUAUGCACGUCUUGACGGUACCUAAUCAGAAAGCCACGGCUAACUACGUGCCAGCAGCCGCGGUAAUACGUAGGUGGCAAGCGUUAUCCGGAAUUAUUGGGCGUAAAGCGCGCGUAGGCGGUUUUUUAAGUCUGAUGUGAAAGCCCACGGCUCAACCGUGGAGGGUCAUUGGAAACUGGAAAACUGGAGUGCAGAAGAGGAAAGUGGAAUUCCAUGUGUAGCAGUGAAAUGCGCAGAGAUAUGGAGGAACCCCAGUGGCGAAGGCGACUUUCUGGUCUGUACCUGACGCUGAUGUGCGAAAGCGUGGGGAUCAAACAGG